RNAcentral lists this ribosomal RNA (241 nucleotides) under uncultured bacterium. Its description in RNAcentral is "partial 16S ribosomal RNA". It matches the Rfam family "Bacterial small subunit ribosomal RNA", at positions 335 to 594 of the family's 1533-position model. The record is from RNAcentral.
GUCCUACGGGGGGCAGCAGUGGGGAAUAUUGCACAAUGGGGGGAACCCUGAUGCAGCAAUGCCGCGUGGGUGAAGAAGCACUCCGGUGCGUAAAGCCCUGUCAGCAGGGAAGAAAAUGACAGUACCUGACCAAGAAGCCCCGGCUAACUACGUGCCAGCAGCCGCGGUAAUACGUAGGGGGCAAGCGUUAUCCGGAUUUACUGGGUGUAAAGGGAGCGUAGACGGCAGAGCAAGUCUGAAG